RNAcentral lists this long non-coding RNA (374 nucleotides) under Eucalyptus grandis. Its description in RNAcentral is "long non-coding RNA (EGRA_LNC003781)". The record is from RNAcentral. Lineage: Eukaryota; Viridiplantae; Streptophyta; Magnoliopsida; Myrtales; Myrtaceae.
UCGUGGUGACGCGGUCUCCAAUCUCCGAUGUAUAUCCACGGUACCCGAGUAGGCACAAUUUCCGCACCAACGUGAUGCGAAGUCACUCCUAUGUGUUCUAAAUCAUGACCGGGCUUGCGAUAAAACUCCACCUAUGAAACGAAACACAAAACAUAUAAUUUCGGAACAUCAAACCCUUCGGUGGCUUCUACGCUAUCGAGCAAACUAAUGUUACAAUCUGCAGAAAAAACUGAAACCGAAAGGCCUGACCAUUGAGACUCCGAGAGAAGAUGAUGGGAACUGGGGAAGAGCGGAAGUUAUGGAGACAUGAAAUGAAAAACAAUGGCUUUGGUGGGCGCUUAAUAUCUAUCAAUGGAGAUCAAUGACAGACCGGG